This 126-nucleotide long non-coding RNA is filed under the name Microtus ochrogaster (prairie vole). Its description in RNAcentral is "X-chromosome inactivation exon 4 (ENSMOCG00000008403.1)". It matches the Rfam family "X-chromosome inactivation gene exon 4". Rfam says of the family: Xist is an RNA gene on the X chromosome of the placental mammals that acts as major effector of the X inactivation process. The record is from RNAcentral. Lineage: Eukaryota; Metazoa; Chordata; Mammalia; Rodentia; Cricetidae.
UCCCCAGAAGUAUGGACUUGUUGCCUUGCGGUGCUGGCGACCUAUUCCCUUUGACGACCCCUAGGUGGAGAUGGGGCAUGAGGGUCCUCCAGGGGAAGAGCUCACCAGCACUGGGCAACAGUCCUA